UACAGAGGGGGCCAGCGUUAUUCGGAAUUAUUGGGCGUAAAGGGCGCGUAGGCGGCCAUGCGUGUCUUCCGUGAAAUCCCUCGGCUUAACUGAGGACGUGCGGAAGAAACUGCAAGGCUUGAGUCCGGGAGAGGGGGGUGGAAUUCCCAGUGUAGCGGUGAAAUGCGUAGAUAUUGGGAGGAACACCAGUGGCGAAGGCGGCUCACUGGACCGGUACUGACGCUGAUGCGCGAAAGCGUGGGGAGCAAACGGG
RNAcentral lists this ribosomal RNA (253 nucleotides) under uncultured bacterium. RNAcentral describes it as "partial 16S ribosomal RNA". It matches the Rfam family "Bacterial small subunit ribosomal RNA", at positions 524 to 776 of the family's 1533-position model. The record is from RNAcentral.